Molecule: long non-coding RNA, 3058 nt
Organism: Anas platyrhynchos (mallard)
Lineage: Eukaryota; Metazoa; Chordata; Aves; Anseriformes; Anatidae
Source: RefSeq, a predicted model, not a curated record
AGCAGCUGCAGGACCUGAUGCGACCAGUAGAAAGGCAAGCCUCGAUGCAGCUGUGGCUCCAGCGUGGCUGGUGUUCAGGCUGUGAAGAGCAAUCUGUGUGGAGCAGUUGGGCUUGGGAAGGAUGCCUGCAAAACUCUUCGGGAAGACUUGUUUUGGAGUGCUGAGUAUCGAUGAGCUGGUGAAUUGUUUCUGAUGAGCUUAUUGCUGCCAAAGGUUUUGACUGUCAUCUGGGAGUCAGUGGGACGAUAUUAUUCUAUUUCCUUCUGGGUCUCGAUCAAUCAGGGUGGACAGAAGAAGCAAAAAAAAAUGAGAAAGGACAUGCAGAAAUCCAAGAAGGCGAUCAGGUAGUUAAUACAUAAGUUUACACCAAGAAAACGGGGGAGAGCCAAGACAGAAGAGUGUAGCUCUGGAUUCCUUCCAGAGAUCUCUGAAGACCAGGAAUGCUUUUGCUGUUCGUUUACACAACUCUACCUGGGUUCUUGCCAGGAAAGGAGCAGGCAGAGGAGGGUGUGUGUGUGUUUGUCUUUCCCUCCUCAAUAUGAAAUAAUGUCUUCUUUCCUCUGCCAUUUCCACUGCUUGUGGCCAUGUCUGUUUGCAAAGUUACCAUCUGCCCCAUGAAGUGAGCUUGUCUGAAUCACGAGUUUGCAGGGAUGGGCUGCUGCAGAACACUUAUUUUUCUUUUGCCUUUUGUUAAUUGUUUACCUUUCAGUGCCCAUGAAGAAAUGCCCUAAAUAUGGCUUUUGUUUUUGUAGUGGCAAUGUCUUGAAUUGGCCUCUUCUGAUUCUCAUUUGUGUAUGUCUAUGGAGUGCAUUUAAUUUUCCUCUUUUUAGUAGCCUUUAGCAGGGUUGAGACUGCACUUAAGAACUAAAGGCCCUUUGAAAGUGAUUGUGUCAUCAUACAAAUAAUCCCGAACGUGUCUAGUAACUAUUUAAAACAAAAGGGUUCAUGGUACAUUUGUGAAGUUAAGGGGGAGGGGGGGAACAAGAACACUGGUUUUGGGAUGCAUAAAGCCUUUUUCACACAAGCUGAUAUUGUUGAAGUGAUCUUUUUACAGCUUCCCAGUGGUCUUUAAGUCCUCGCAGGGUUUGGGGACAGGGGGAUACAGGCCGGGGAGUCUUGUUCCUCUGUUUCAGUGAAUGCUCGUGUGUCACACCUCAGAGAAGGGACAGCUUUACCUCAUAGCAGCUUGCCAUAUGUGGCUGACAACGUCACGACUUGCACUGCUGUCUGUGCACAACGAGAGCAGACACACUCAGUGCCACACCUUCCCUCCAGCUCACGUUGCUCUGGGCCGCCAUCACCUGCACCCUGUGAGGACAGGCCUGGGCAGGCAGUGGUGCUGUGGCUGGGCUCCAGGGGCAGCUCCUGGCAGGGAACAGCCCCAUCAGGCUGCCCCACACGUCACAGGGACUUGCACGUCAUGGCCUGUGUUGGGUCUGGCCCUGUUCUCCGCUUCCCGUUGCUUCAUGACCCAGUGUAGCAAGGACUUGCCUUCUGCCUCCGCUCGCCAAUGUUGUUUAUGUGCUGAGCGCUUGUGAAAGAAAAGAGCUAUGCACAACCAGAGGGCACUGUGUUCAGUUUUGGGCCCCCUAAUUAAAAUACAGGUACCUGAGUUGCUGGAAUGUGCUCAGAGAAGAACAACAGAGCUGAUGAAGGGACAAGAAAACAACACUAGAGGGACCUGGGGCUGUGCAGUCUGGAGAGCAGCAGGCUGAGGGGACACCUCGCUGCUCUCCACAACUACCUGAAAGGAGCUUGCUGCAAGGAGGGUGUUGGCCUCUUUUCUCAGAUGACAAGUGAUAAGAUGCAAGGAAAUGGCACCAGUUGCACCAGGGGAAGUUUAGAUUGGACUUCUAGGAACAAUUUCCUCACAGAGAGCGUGGUCAAGCAUUGGAAGAGUCUGCCCAGGGAAGUGGUGGAGUCUCCAUGCCUGGAGGUAUUUAAUAGAUGUGUGGACAUAGAGAGAUUAGAUUACCAACGGUACAACUGCCACCAAAAUUCUGCUGGACAGACUGCAGUGCAGAAAUUGUUGCCCUAAUCAUUGCUGCUCAAGUUAAUUGCCAUUAACUAAUUUGACAUUCAGCAUCUCUUUAAAAGGAAGUAAGCUUCAAAAUAUUGAUUUGUAACGUGAGAUGACAAACAGCACCACCAGAUAUGUGAAAAUCAUCAGGAAAAAUGUCUCCAUGAAUAUUAAGACCUUUAUGAAUGGUUCUCAUAGACAAUGCUAAGUUCCACACAUUUACUUUGCUAGAAACUAUAUUGGAAGCACAACUGGAUUGAUCUCGGCUCCACAGCAUGGGCCCAGCUGAGACCUGGAAAUUGUGCUCUUCUGAGAGCAAGGACAGCUGCUUCUGCUAUCAGCCACACCUCGUCAUUAGUGCAGCUGUGACCGUAAGGUGUUGAGGUUUACUUAGUGAUAGCAGUGUUUAACGUCAUGUACAUCACUUCUGAGUCAGAAGUUCAGCACCACGGGCAAGUAUUCUUGUGUUUCCAUGGAGGAGCACCUACCGUGACACCAGAUUGUUAAAAGUGUAAAAGAAAGAGGAAUUAAGGGAGGAGAGAACUGGGAGGAAGGAAAGCACUUUGAAUUUAUUCCCUGUAUUACAGACGUUUGUAAAAUAUCCAGUGCUUGAACCCUGAGUAUGUGGUCAGAAUUUCCUCUCACUUUUGUAUGACCUACUGAGCAAACAUUGGCUUGUUGACGUAUAAUAGCUGCCUUCAAACAGGAUAUUAUUCAGCACUCUAAUAUAAUCUAAAAUCUAUUUCAAAUAGCCAGGUUAAUCCCCAUCACCUGUGAAUGGAGAAUAAAAAAUAAAUUAUUCACAACCCAUUCCUUCCUAGUAAAUUCCCAAAGAUUUAACGCUGGCUGGAAUCAAUUAAACUGCUGUGCUGUUCCUUUAGGGUCUUAAGUAUUUAACUUCUCAGUUUGGACUUAAACAUGGACAGUGGCAUGCUUUUCCUGGUAUGAAUUCACAGCAAGCUGUGUUUUUUAAGGUGUUUUGGACCAAUAAUGACUCAUUUAGAAAAUAAAUCUGUUAAAGGCAGAAAUGAGAAAAUA